GGUGCUGUGGUCUAGUGGUAGGACGUUACGUUGUGGCCGUGCCAGCGCCGGUUCGAUUCCGGCCAGCGCCA
This 71-nucleotide transfer RNA is filed under the name Aspergillus melleus. RNAcentral's name for it is "tRNA-His". It matches the Rfam family "tRNA". Rfam says of the family: Transfer RNA (tRNA) molecules are approximately 80 nucleotides in length. Their secondary structure includes four short double-helical elements and three loops (D, anti-codon, and T loops). Further hydrogen bonds mediate the characteristic L-shaped molecular structure. tRNAs have two regions of fundamental functional importance: the anti-codon, which is responsible for specific mRNA codon recognition, and the 3' end, to which the tRNAs corresponding amino acid is attached (by aminoacyl-tRNA synthetases). tRNAs cope with the degeneracy of the genetic code in two manners: having more than one tRNA (with a specific anti-codon) for a particular amino acid; and 'wobble' base-pairing, i.e. permitting non-standard base-pairing at the 3rd anti-codon position. The record is from RNAcentral. Lineage: Eukaryota; Fungi; Ascomycota; Eurotiomycetes; Eurotiales; Aspergillaceae. RNAcentral also lists the same sequence under 1 other name.